UACGUAGGUGGCAAGCGUUAUCCGGAUUUAUUGGGUUUAAAGGGUGCGCAGGCGGCGUGUCAAGUCAGCGGUAAAAUGUCGGGGCUCAACCCCGGCCGGCCGUUGAAACUGGCGUGCUCGAGUUGGAGAGAAGUAUGCGGAAUUCGUGGUGUUGCGGUGAAAUGCAUAGAUAUCACGAAGAACCCCGAUUGCGAAGGCAGCAUACCGGCUCCACACUGACGCUGAGGCACGAAAGCGUGGGUAUCGAACAGG
RNAcentral lists this ribosomal RNA (252 nucleotides) under uncultured bacterium. Its description in RNAcentral is "partial 16S ribosomal RNA". It matches the Rfam family "Bacterial small subunit ribosomal RNA", at positions 524 to 776 of the family's 1533-position model. The record is from RNAcentral.